RNAcentral lists this ribosomal RNA (2052 nucleotides) under human gut metagenome. Its description in RNAcentral is "bacterial LSU rRNA". It matches the Rfam family "Bacterial large subunit ribosomal RNA", at positions 1 to 1978 of the family's 2925-position model. The record is from RNAcentral.
UAAAGCUACAAAGAGCUAAUGGAGAAUGCCUUGGUACUGACAGCCGAAGAAGGACGCGUAAAGCUGCGAUAAGCUGCGGGGAACUGCUAAAAAGUCUAGAUCCGCAGAAAUCCGAAUGGGGUAACCCCUUUAAGUUAAAACUUAAAGACCGUCAACUAAAUCAAUAGGUUGAUCGGAGGAAAGCCUGUGAACUGAAACAUCUUAGUAACAGGACGAAGAGAAAAUAAACCAAUGAUUCCGAAAGUAGCGGCGAGCGAAAUUGGAAGAGCCUAAAUUGUAUGUACGAGAUAACCUGCAAGUGUUGUGCAUAUGAAGUAGUGGGACUUACAGUAUAAGUUGCAGCUUAUACACAGAGUAAAAAAAUUAUUUAAUAGCUGAAGCCAACUGGGAAGUUGCGCCAUAGCGGGUGAUAGCCCCAUAAGCGAAAUUAAAUAAUCUCUGGUAAGGAUCCCGAGUAAGGCGGGGCACGAGAAACCCAGUCUGAAUCAGCCACGACCAUGUGGUAAGGCUAAAUACUAGUCAGUAACCGAUAGAGAACGAGUACAGUGAUGGAAAGGCGAAAAGAACAGUGAGAAGCUGAGUGAAAUAGACCCUGAAACCGUUAGCUUACAAUCAGUCAGAGCACUAUGAAUAGUGUGAUGGCGUGCCUGUUGAAGAAUGAGCCGGCGAGUUAUCUUAAGUUGCAAGGUUAAGGAGUUAACAUCUGGAGCCAAAGCGAAAGCGAGUUUGAAAAGAGCGUUAAGUAACGUGAGAUAGACCCGAACCUUGGUGAUCUAACCUUGACCAGGAUGAAGCGUAGGUAACACUACGUGGAGGUCCGAACCGACUGAUGUUGAAAAAUCAGCGGAUGAGUUGAGGUUAGGGGUGAAAUGCCAAUCGAACCAAGAGCUAGCUGGUUCUCCCCGAAAUGCGUUUAGGCACAGCGUCAGAAAUAUCUUGCAGGAGGUAGAGCACUGGUUUUGUGCGGGCGGCGAAAUGCUGUACCAAACAAUGUCAAACUCCGAAUGCCUGCAAAGUAAGUAUCUGGCAGUGAGGCUAUGAGUGAUAAGAUCCAUGGCCAAGAGGGAAACAGCCCAGAACGCCAGUUAAGGUCCCAAAUAUAUGCUAAGUGGUUAAGGAGGUAGAGUUGCUUAGACAACCAGGAGGUUGGCUUAGAAGCAGCCAUCCCUUGAAAGAGUGCGUAAUAGCUCACUGGUCAAGCGACUCCGCGCCGAAAAUACACCGGGACUAAAGCAUAUAACCGAAACUGCGUCAUAUAGUUUACUAUAUGGGUAGGGGAGCGUACUGCAGUAGGACGAAGUCAGACCGAAAGGACUGAUGGACGAGGCAGUAGUGAGAAUGUCGGCAUAAGUAGCGAAAACAUUGGUGAGAAUCCAAUGCACCGAAAACCUAAGGUUUCCCACGGCAGGCUCGUCCGCGUGGGGUUAGUCGGACCCUAAGCUCAGGCCGAAAGGCGUAGGCGAUGGACAUCAGGUUGAUAUUCCUGAACUAUCGAUUAAUCGAUACCAGAAGCGGAGGGACGCAGGAGGAUAGACACGCAGCCGACUGGAAGAGGCUGUUUAAGCGUGUAGGUAGAGUAAGUAGGAAAAUCCGCUUAUUCGUUAGAAACUGAGGCGCGAUGAGGAGAGUCUACGGACUUGAAGGUGUUGACUCCACACUGCCAAGAAAAACUUCGCUAUCGAGAUUAAUAGGUAUCCGUACCGGAAACCGCCACAGGUAGGUUGGUAGAGAAUACUAAGGUGCGCGAGAUAACUCUCGCUAAGGAACUCGGCAAAAUCACCUCGUAACUUCGGGAGAAGAGGUACCCUGGUAGAGUGAAGGGGUUCACCCGUGGAGCUUGAUAGGGUCGCAGUGAAUAGGCCCAAGCGACUGUUUACCAAAAACACAGGUCUCUGCAAAGUCGAUCAAGACGAUGUAUAGGGGCUGACGCCUGCCCGGUGUCGGAAGGUUACGCGGAAGGGUUAGAGGCAACUCGAAGCUCAGAAGCUAAGCCCCGAUGAACGGCGGCCGUAACUAUAACGGUCCUAAGGUAGCGAAAUUCCUUGUCAGGUA